GAUUGACAAUCGCCAUCUCCAUUUCAUACAAGAGUUCACCCCAAUCCACAUCCAAAUGUUAGUAUAAUUUCAUUCAAUGACCAUGCACGACAACUGGAUGACAUUAGAGGGUUUUUAACGUACUGAUUCGAGUAAAACACCAUAAUUGACACAAAGAAUGACAGUUUGAAAAUAGAAUUUACACUGCAAAUUGAUCAUAGCCCAUCAAAUUUAACUCUUGACAGUAAAUCAGUUGGGUCCAAAAUGAGCUACUGAAACAUUGACAGCAGCGAACUAUAAUUUCCAAUAAAGCUACUAAUACUGGGGACCUAAACUUGACAGUGCCUCAGCACCAACCAAAACCCAAGCUAACGAAGUUCAAAACCUGUGGCUUUAUACGAGAAAACCACACAUGUUAUGCAUCGAUCUAAGUGCACAAUAUCAGCAGAUAAUGUUCCAAGACACAGGCAUUACAACCUUAAAUUAGAAUUUUCAACGACGAUUUAUAUUUACAUCAUAUGUGCUGAUAUUUGUAGAUCGAAGAGAACAAAACUGAUUACUUCUGGUAAGAAAACCAGAACAGUUACCUGGGAAAUAUACGAAGGUCCAUUAUAAUGAGCCACGUUGAAAGUGCUCUGAAGAUGUAUCCUUGUUCCGUCUUGAUUGAUCGGAUACCUGGAACAAAAAUGUGAGAUCUUCCACUGUAAGACGAGUUGCGGUGCCACCACUUUGAUCAUCACCAAAAGCGGAUGCAAUCAUUUUUCUCUUGUCAUCCUGAAGACAAACAAACAACUAAGAAGACUCGACCCAUAGAGAUGAAACUAUCUAAGAAAUAAAGAAAAGCUUAAAACAUGCAGGCCAAAUCUCUUUGGGCAAGUCAAAGAGUGCUUUUAUCUAGUCUCU
RNAcentral lists this long non-coding RNA (882 nucleotides) under Olea europaea subsp. europaea. The record is from RNAcentral. Lineage: Eukaryota; Viridiplantae; Streptophyta; Magnoliopsida; Lamiales; Oleaceae.